GGAAUCUGGGAGGACCAUCUCCUAAGGCUAAAUACUCUCUAGUGACCGAUAGUGAACCAGUACCGUGAGGGAAAGGUGAAAAGCACCCCGGAAGGGGAGUGAAAUAGAACCUGAAACCGUGUGCUUACAAGUAGUCAGAGCCCGUUAAUGGGUGAUGGCGUGCCUUUUGUAGAAUGAACCGGCGAGUUACGAUUUGAUGCAAGGUUAAGCAGUAAAUGUGGAGCCGUAGCGAAAGCGAGUCUGAAUAGGGCGUUUAGUAUUUGGUCGUAGACCCGAAACCAGGUGAUCUACCCUUGGUCAGGUUGAAGUUCAGGUAACACUGAAUGGAGGACCGAACCGACUUACGUUGAAAAGUGAGCGGAUGAACUGAGGGUAGCGGAGAAAUUCCAAUCGAACCUGGAGAUAGCUGGUUCUCUCCGAAAUAGCUUUAGGGCUAGCCUCAAGUGAUGAUUAUUGGAGGUAGAGCACUGUUUGGACGAGGGGCCCCUCUCGGGUUACCGAAUUCAGACAAACUCCGAAUGCCAAUUAAUUUAACUUGGGAGUCAGAACAUGGGUGAUAAGGUCCGUGUUCGAAAGGGAAACAGCCCAGACCACCAGCUAAGGUCCCAAAAUAUAUGUUAAGUGGAAAAGGAUGUGGCGUUGCCCAGACAACUAGGAUGUUGGCUUAGAAGCAGCCAUCAUUUAAAGAGUGCGUAAUAGCUCACUAGUCGAGUGACACUGCGCCGAAAAUGUACCGGGGCUAAACAUAUUACCGAAGCUGUGGAUUGUCCUUUGGACAAUGGUAGGAGAGCGUUCUAAGGGCGUUGAAGCAUGAUCGUAAGGACAUGUGGAGCGCUUAGAAGUGAGAAUGCCGGUGUGAGUAGCGAAAGACGGGUGAGAAUCCCGUCCACCGAUUGACUAAGGUUUCCAGAGGAAGGCUCGUCCGCUCUGGGUUAGUCGGGUCCUAAGCUGAGGCCGACAGGCGUAGGCGAUGGAUAACAGGUUGAUAUUCCUGUACCACCUAUAAUCGUUUUAAUCGAUGGGGGGACGCAGUAGGAUAGGCGAAGCGUGCGAUUGGAUUGCACGUCUAAGCAAUAAGGCUGAGUAUUAGGCAAAUCCGGUACUCGUUAAGGCUGAGCUGUGAUGGGGAGAAGACAUUGAGUCUUCGAGUCGUUGAUUUCACACUGCCGAGAAAAGCCUCUAGAUAGAAAAUAGGUGCCCGUACCGCAAACCGACACAGGUAGUCAAGAUGAGAAUUCUAAGGUGAGCGAGCGAACUCUCGUUAAGGAACUCGGCAAAAUGACCCCGUAACUUCGGGAGAAGGGGUGCUCUUUAGGGUUAACGCCCAGAAGAGCCGCAGUGAAUAGGCCCAAGCGACUGUUUAUCAAAAACACAGGUCUCUGCUAAACCGUAAGGUGAUGUAUAGGGGCUGACGCCUGCCCGGUGCUGGAAGGUUAAGAGGAGUGGUUAGCUUCUGCGAAGCUACGAAUCGAAGCCCCAGUAAACGGCGGCCGUAACUAUAACGGUCCUAAGGUAGCGAAAUUCCUUGUCGGGUAAGUUCCGACCCGCACGAAAGGCGUAACGAUUUGGGCACUGUCUCAACGAGAGACUCGGUGAAAUCAUAGUACCUGUGAAGAUGCAGGUUACCCGCGACAGGACGGAAAGACCCCGUGGAGCUUUACUGUAGCCUGAUAUUGAAAUUCGGCACAGCUUGUACAGGAUAGGUAGGAGCCUUUGAAACGUGAGCGCUAGCUUACGUGGAGGCGCUGGUGGGAUACUACCCUAGCUGUGUUGGCUUUCUAACCCGCACCACUUAUCGUGGUGGGAGACAGUGUCAGGCGGGCAGUUUGACUGGGGCGGUCGCCUCCUAAAAGGUAACGGAGGCGCUCAAAGGUUCCCUCAGAAUGGUUGGAAAUCAUUCAUAGAGUGUAAAGGCAUAAGGGAGCUUGACUGCGAGACCUACAAGUCGAGCAGGGUCGAAAGACGGACUUAGUGAUCCGGUGGUUCCGCAUGGAAGGGCCAUCGCUCAACGGAUAAAAGCUACCCCGGGGAUAACAGGCUUAUCUCCCCCAAGAGUUCACAUCGACGGGGAGGUUUGGCACCUCGAUGUCGGCUCAUCGCAUCCUGGGGCUGUAGUCGGUCCCAAGGGUUGGGCUGUUCGCCCAUUAAAGCGGUACGCGAGCUGGGUUCAGAACGUCGUGAGACAGUUCGGUCCCUAUCCGUCGUGGGCGUAGGAAAUUUGAGAGGAGCUGUCCUUAGUACGAGAGGACCGGGAUGGACAUACCUCUGGUGUACCAGUUGUCGUGCCAACGGCAUAGCUGGGUAGCUAUGUGUGGACGGGAUAAGUGCUGAAAGCAUCUAAGCAUGAAGCCCCCCUCAAGAUGAGAUUUCCCAACUUCGGUUAUAAGAUCCCUCAAAGAUGAUGAGGUUAAUAGGUUCGAGGUGGAAGCAUGGUGACAUGUGGAGCUGACGAAUACUAAUCGAUCGAAGACUUAAUCAA
RNAcentral lists this ribosomal RNA (2479 nucleotides) under Staphylococcus aureus H27872. RNAcentral's name for it is "bacterial LSU rRNA". It matches the Rfam family "Bacterial large subunit ribosomal RNA", at positions 439 to 2925 of the family's 2925-position model. Lineage: Bacteria; Bacillati; Bacillota; Bacilli; Caryophanales; Staphylococcaceae. The record is from RNAcentral.